UACGAAGGGGGCUAGCGUUGCUCGGAAUCACUGGGCGUAAAGCGCACGUAGGCGGAUUGCUAAGUCAGGGGUGAAAUCUCGGAGCUUAACUCCGAAACUGCAUUCGAUACUGCCGUGCUUGAGGACUGGAGAGGAGACUGGAAUUUACGGUGUAGCGGUGAAAUGCGUAGAUAUCGUAAGGAAGACCAGUGGCGAAGGCGGGUCUCUGGACAGUUCCUGACGCUGAGGCACGAAGGCCAGGGGAGCAAACGGG
RNAcentral lists this ribosomal RNA (253 nucleotides) under uncultured bacterium. RNAcentral describes it as "partial 16S ribosomal RNA". It matches the Rfam family "Bacterial small subunit ribosomal RNA", at positions 524 to 776 of the family's 1533-position model. The record is from RNAcentral.